UUUAAACACUGGUUCUCGUAUGAUCACAGAAGUUAAGCAAUAUCGAGACUGGUCAAUACCUAAAUGGGUGAUCGUUUGGGAAUACCAGCUGCUGUAAU
Acanthosepion pharaonis is the source of this 98-nucleotide non-coding RNA. Lineage: Eukaryota; Metazoa; Mollusca; Cephalopoda; Sepiida; Sepiidae. The record is from the annotation of a GenBank genome assembly.